AACGAACGCUGGCGGCAGGCUUAACACAUGCAAGUCGAACGCAUCGCAAGAUGAGUGGCAGACGGGUGAGUAACGCGUGGGAACAUACCCUUUUCUACGGAAUAGCUCUGGGAAACUGGAAUUAAUACCGUAUACGCCCUACGGGGGAAAGAUUUAUCGGGGAAGGAUUGGCCCGCGUUGGAUUAGCUAGUUGGUGGGGUAAAGGCCUACCAAGGCGACGAUCCAUAGCUGGUCUGAGAGGAUGAUCAGCCACAUUGGGACUGAGACACGGCCAAACUCCUACGGGAGGCAGCAGUGGGGAAUAUUGGACAAUGGGCGCAAGCCUGAUCCAGCCAUGCCGCGUGAGUGAUGAAGGCCCUAGGGUUGUAAAGCUCUUUCACCGAUGAGGAUAAUGACGGUAGUCGGAGAAGAAGCCCCGGCUAACUUCGUGCCAGCAGCCGCGGUAA
RNAcentral lists this ribosomal RNA (446 nucleotides) under uncultured bacterium. Its description in RNAcentral is "partial 16S ribosomal RNA". It matches the Rfam family "Bacterial small subunit ribosomal RNA", at positions 29 to 523 of the family's 1533-position model. The record is from RNAcentral.